Molecule: ribosomal RNA, 258 nt
Filed under: uncultured prokaryote
Description: partial 16S ribosomal RNA
Rfam family: Bacterial small subunit ribosomal RNA
Source: RNAcentral
UACGGAGGAUGCGAGCGUUAUCCGGAUUUAUUGGGUUUAAAGGGUGCGUAGGCGGCCAUUUAAGUCAGCGGUGAAAUUUUGCAGCUUAACUGUAACAGUGCCGUUGAUACUGUUUGGCUAGGAUUUGGUUGUAGUGUGCGGAAUGUGUGGUGUAGCGGUGAAAUGCUUAGAGAUCACACAGAAUAUCGAUUGCGAAGGCAGCUCACAAAGCCAAGAUUGACGCUGAGGCACGAAAGUGUGGGGAGUCAAACAGGAUUA